GACGAACGCUGGCGGCGUGCUUAACACAUGCAAGUCGAACGGUAAGGCUCCAGCUUGCUGGGGUACACGAGUGGCGAACGGGUGAGUAACACGUGGGUGACCUGCCCUGCACUUCGGGAUAAGCCUGGGAAACUGGGUCUAAUACCGGAUAGGACCAUGGUGUGGAUACUGUGGUGGAAAGCUUUUUCGGUGUGGGAUGGGCCCGCGGCCUAUCAGCUUGUUGGUGGGGUAAUGGCCUACCAAGGCGGCGACGGGUAGCCGGCCUGAGAGGGUGGACAGCCACAAUGGGACUGAGGCACGGCCCAGACUCCUACGGGAGGCAGCAGUGGGGAAUAUUGCACAAUGGGCGGAAGCCUGAUGCAGCGACGCCGCGUGGGGGAUGACGGCCUUCGGGUUGUAAACUGCUUUCGCCAUCGACGAAGGGUUUCUGACGGUAGAUGGAGAAGAAGCACCGGCUAACUACGUG
Molecule: ribosomal RNA, 466 nt
Filed under: uncultured bacterium
Lineage: Bacteria
Description: partial 16S ribosomal RNA
Rfam family: Bacterial small subunit ribosomal RNA
Source: RNAcentral